AUAUAAUUCAAUGUUCUAUUAAAAUGAUAUACAUCACUUAUUGAAGCAUCAUAAAAUUUAGUAAUAGGCGAUAGAAUUUUUAUUUAUUUGUAUAUUCAAGUACCGUAAGGAAAUAAAAAAACUAAAAUAAAUCAGCUUAUAUUAGCGUACUUUCCGCAUCACGGCUUAGCAAGAGAUAAAUUAGAAAUCUAACUUCUCGAAAUCUAAUGAGCUAUCUUUACUUAAUCUAUUAGGAUUUAUAAAUGUUCUAAAUGUAGCAAAAUUUAAACAAUAGAUAAAGAUAGGGAUGAAAUUUCAUGCGCAUUAGUGAUAGCUAGUUCUUUCUGAAAGAUAUAAAAGUAUCAAAGUGAUAAAAAUUAUAGGGAAUUUUAGCUCCCUUUAAUUUAUUCUAACUUUUAUUUACUUGAGGAUAAGCUCAAGUAAAGUUCUGAGGAUAACCUAUAACUACUUUUAUUACUCUAUAUGGGCUUAAGAUUGGCCACCAUAGCCGAAGUUUGUUACAAAAUAGUCUUCAAAUUACACAAAAUUAAUAUAUGCAUAAUCUUCCCAGUUACACUAAGAAAGUAUUUGGCUAAACUAACAAAACAAAACACUUAUGCUAGGAUGAGUAUUACACUUAGAAAUAAUUUCUGAAAGUAUAGUAAAAAGCUUUCUUAUAACCCUUAUUUCCUCAACAUAAAAUGUCUAGAAGGAACUCGGCAAAACCUGCUUCGCCUGUUUAUCAAAAACAUGGCUCUCUGUUUCUUCUUAUAGAGAGUUGAGCCUGCCCAGUGAAAUUUUUAACGGCCGCGGUACUCUGACCGUGCAAAGGUAGCAUAAUCAUUUGCCUUNUAAUUGAAGGCUAGUAUGAAUGGUUUGACGAAAGCAGAUCUGUCUCCCUUUUACUUCCUAGAAUUUGACUUUUAGGUGAAGAGGCCUAAAUAAUAUUGAAGGACAAGAAGACCCUGUCGAGCUUAAAAGAAUAAAUAGAAGUUAAUAUACUUAUAAAUAAAUAAUCUACUAAGCUUUUUAGUUGGGGCGACUAAGGAACAAAUAGAGCUUCUUCGAUAAAAGAAACCAACGAAGUUUAGAUCCAGCGGAAGUCUGAUCAAAGAAAUUAGUUACCGCAGGGAUAACAGCAUAAUCUUCCUUGAGAGACCUAAUCGAAAGGAGGGGUUGUGACCUCGAUGUUGGACUAGAAUAUCCUAAAGAUGCAGAAGUCUUUAAGGG
RNAcentral lists this ribosomal RNA (1209 nucleotides) under Telescopium telescopium. RNAcentral's name for it is "partial 16S ribosomal RNA". It matches the Rfam family "Bacterial large subunit ribosomal RNA", at positions 577 to 2571 of the family's 2925-position model. The record is from RNAcentral. Lineage: Eukaryota; Metazoa; Mollusca; Gastropoda; Potamididae.